UGGGGAAUUUUGGACAAUGGGCGCAAGCCUGAUCCAGCAAUGCCGCGUGCAGGAAGAAGGCCUUCGGGUUGUAAACUGCUUUUGUCAGGGAAGAAAUCUUCUGGGCUAAUACCCCGGGAGGAUGACGGUACCUGAAGAAUAAGCACCGGCUAACUACGUGCCAGCAGCCGCGGUAAUACGUAGGGUGCGAGCGUUAAUCGGAAUUACUGGGCGUAAAGCGUGCGCAGGCGGUUAUGUAAGACAGAUGUGAAAUCCCCGGGCUCAACCUGGGAACUGCAUUUUGUGACUGCAUGACUGGAGUGCGGCANAGGGGGAUGGAAUUCCGCGUNUAGCAGUGAAAUGCGUNGAUAUGCGGAGGAACACCGAUGGCGAAGGCAAUCCCCUGGGCCUGCACUGACGCUCAUGCACGAAAGCGUGGGAAGCAAACAGGAUUAGUACCCUGGUAGUCCACGCCUAAACGAUGUCACUGGUUGUUGGACGGCUUGCUGUUCANAACGAAGCUAACGCGUGAAGUUGCCGCCU
This 522-nucleotide ribosomal RNA is filed under the name uncultured bacterium. RNAcentral describes it as "partial 16S ribosomal RNA". It matches the Rfam family "Bacterial small subunit ribosomal RNA", at positions 355 to 874 of the family's 1533-position model. The record is from RNAcentral.